This 465-nucleotide ribosomal RNA is filed under the name uncultured bacterium. RNAcentral describes it as "partial 16S ribosomal RNA". It matches the Rfam family "Bacterial small subunit ribosomal RNA", at positions 28 to 507 of the family's 1533-position model. The record is from RNAcentral.
GACGAACGCUGGCGGCGUGCUUAACACAUGCAAGUCGUGCGGUAAGGCCCUUUCGGGGGUCCACGAGCGGCGAACGGGUGAGUAACACGUGAGCAACCUGCCCUUCACUUUGGGAUAACUGCCGGAAACGGUGGCUAAUACCGGAAAUGACUUCCUCACGCAUGUGGGGUGGUGAAAGCCUUCGGGUGGUUGGGGAUGGGCUCGCGGUCUAUCAGCUUGUUGGUGGGGUGAUGGCCUACCAAGGCUUCGACGGGUAGCCGGCCUGGGAGGGUGACCGGCCACACUGGGACUGAGACACGGCCCAGACUCCUACGGGAGGCAGCAGUGGGGAAUAUUGGACAAUGGGCGAAAGCCUGAUCCAGCAACGCCGCGUGAGGGAUGACGGCCUUCGGGUUGUAAACCUCUUUCGCCUGCGACGAAGCGAGAGUGACGGUAGCAGGUAAAGAAGCACCGGCCAACUACGUG